CACGUAGGGGCCAAGCGUUGUCCGGAUUUAUUGGGCGUAAAGAGCUCGUAGGCGGUUCGACAAGUCGGGUGUGAAAACUCCGGGCUCAACCCGGAGACGCCACCCGAUACUGUCGUGACUGGAGUCCGGUAGGGGAGUGGGGAAUUCCUGGUGUAGCGGUGAAAUGCGCAGAUAUCAGGAGGAACACCGGUGGCGAAGGCGACACUCUGGGCCGGUACUGACGCUGAGGAGCGAAAGCGUGGGUAGCAAACAGG
Molecule: ribosomal RNA, 254 nt
Filed under: uncultured bacterium
Lineage: Bacteria
Description: partial 16S ribosomal RNA
Rfam family: Bacterial small subunit ribosomal RNA
Source: RNAcentral